AUGAGGAACAAAGCCGGUAUGAGGAGGUCGUGUCGCCCAGGGAGCAACCCAAUCCCCGGAAGAAGGAAGAUCACAGGGCAGAGGGGAGCACGCGUACCUCCUGCAGUACCCUCGGACUCAUCAUCUGGAGCACAGAGUGAAAGGAGGGUGCUCGGUUGCUCAUCUAAGUCAUUUAGUUUACCCAUCACUGCCUAAAAUAGCCUCAAGUCAGCGUGACGCAUGCACUGCUCUGCCGUGGCCCACAUAGCAUAUGUUGCUGUUCGAGCUGUGAGCCCUCUCUUCUUCUCCCCGCAUCCAGCAGCCGUCACCUUCCUCCUCGUUGCUGCCGCGGCCUGACCCAGCCUCGUGGUCCCGCGGCACCAGCGGAUGGAGCGCCUUGUGCCCUGGGCAGGGACACAGCCAGAAGGUCCUGAAGCACACAACUUCAGAGAUUUUCCACUUAGAGAAAAAAAAAAAAUGAAUAUAUACCAGGUAAAUACGCCGAUGGAUAUGCAACCUUGGGACACUUCUGCGAUGUGACUAAUCCUGCGCAUGCUGUGACUCAGCUGCUGAAGCCUAUUAUCAGAAAAGGUCCCAGAGCUCCCAGUUAUAAACCAAUAAAUAAAACAGCUUGUUUUCCGUAACA
This 625-nucleotide long non-coding RNA is filed under the name Anas platyrhynchos platyrhynchos (common mallard). RNAcentral's name for it is "lncRNA (ENSAPLG00000026430.1)". The record is from RNAcentral. Lineage: Eukaryota; Metazoa; Chordata; Aves; Anseriformes; Anatidae.